UAUAUAUAUAUCGUAGUCUCUGCCUCUCUGAGUUUCCGGAAACAAUUGGAAGACAAAAGGGUUUUUGCUUUCAUUGAAAUUUAGAGGAGAAAUAUGGGAUUUUGAUUGAGUUUUUAGGGAUUUUUUAGCUAGCUAGAUUGAA
Long non-coding RNA from Hibiscus syriacus, 142 nucleotides. RefSeq lists it as uncharacterized. The transcript has 2 exons. The record is from RefSeq and is a predicted model, not a curated record. Lineage: Eukaryota; Viridiplantae; Streptophyta; Magnoliopsida; Malvales; Malvaceae.